GCGCGAAACCACCCCACCUGGGGUGGUCGUCAGGGCGUGGUGGCCCUGGCCUGAUGAGCAGCCGGGG
Molecule: non-coding RNA, 67 nt
Filed under: Magnetococcales bacterium
Lineage: Bacteria; Pseudomonadati; Pseudomonadota; Magnetococcia; Magnetococcales
Source: RNAcentral